Molecule: unclassified non-coding RNA, 737 nt
Filed under: uncultured Prochlorococcus sp.
Lineage: Bacteria; Bacillati; Cyanobacteriota; Cyanophyceae; Synechococcales; Prochlorococcaceae
Description: partial 16S-23S ribosomal RNA intergenic spacer; may also contain 16S ribosomal RNA and 23S ribosomal RNA
Rfam family: tRNA (bases 344-416)
Source: RNAcentral
UUGUGGAGAAGGACGCCGAAGGUGGGGCUGAUGACUGGGGUGAAGUCGUAACAAGGUAGCCGUACCGGAAGGUGCGGCUGGAUCACCUCCUAACAGGGAGACAAUAAAUUGAUUGUGAUGUCUAAGUUAUUUAUUCUUAGGCCGCAAUCCUGUCACCUUAAGGUCGAUCGGUACCUCAGAUUUUUGAAUUAGUUUUAUAAUUGAUUCUUUGAUUUCAGUUCCUAAACUUGUCUAGGUCACACCCAACAAAGGUUUCUCCUGGGCCAUUAGCUCAGGUGGUUAGAGCGCACCCCUGAUAAGGGUGAGGUCCCUGGUUCAAGUCCAGGAUGGCCCAUUCGUUGUUGGGGGUAUAGCUCAGUUGGUAGAGCGCCUGCUUUGCAAGCAGGAUGUCAGCGGUUCGAGUCCGCUUACCUCCACUGAAAACUAUCCUGAUAACUAAAUUCUGGAGAAAAAAAUUGUAGAUGUGGCUUAGAAUUGUCUAUUUGAAUAGAACCUAGCUUCUUAUCAUCUUUUUAUAGUUGAUAAAAUGCUGGGCUCGCAUGGAUUAUUUCCAUGAGAAUUCAGUAGAACCUUGAAAACUGCAUAGAUAAGAAAGAAUAAAGCAUCUCAUGGAUGCAUAAUUCUGUUUUUAUAAUUUAGCCUUAAAACUAAAUUAUUUAAUUCUAGAAUUCAUGUUUAAUUCCUGAGUAAAAGCCGAGCACAAUUGAUUUUGUGAUUGUAUUAAGGUCAAGCUACAA